UGUCUGGAGAUUUCGAGCUGUUAACGUAAAGAGCGGCGUCUCAGGCUUCUCUGCAGUGUGAGUGUCCUGCCUUGGCCAGAGCAGAACUCCCAGAGCAGUGAAAAGGGAGCCAGUGUCAUGGGGCUUCUGGUUUCAGGACAUACUGGAAAGGCUGGUCCCUGAGUGCUCCAAGGACCCCGCCAGCCAGCCACAGGGGAUGCUGGGAGUGUCCUCCAUCCUGCCCUUAAAGGGCUCCUUUCCUGCUUCCUGGGUUCAUAUCUGU
This is a long non-coding RNA of Propithecus coquereli (Coquerel's sifaka), 262 nucleotides long. RefSeq lists it as uncharacterized. NCBI's taxonomy places the organism in Eukaryota, Metazoa, Chordata, Mammalia, Primates, Indriidae. The record is from RefSeq and is a predicted model, not a curated record. The transcript has 3 exons.